Long non-coding RNA from Anarrhichthys ocellatus (wolf-eel), 1666 nucleotides. RefSeq lists it as uncharacterized. Lineage: Eukaryota; Metazoa; Chordata; Actinopteri; Perciformes; Anarhichadidae. The record is from RefSeq and is a predicted model, not a curated record. The transcript has 2 exons.
AUCGAUCAACCUUUAUUUCAUCCUGAGUGCUGGCCUUUGCAUCUUCAAGGCUGGAGAAAACCCAUGUAGGAUCUUGCACUGGGGCUUUUCUAUAGUAUCUAGUCAUAUAUGCAUGCUGGAUGGAUCAAUCCUCCCGGAAACGUCAUCGGAGCAACCACUGUGUCCACAUCGAAGCAGGACCAGUGGUUCUCAUGGUAGCCUUUGUGUGUGGCAGGGCUGAUGACACCCCAUGUAGCGCCUUGCACUGGGGCCGGUGGAUUGACCCACUUUAACCCUGAGGGCCGGCCUUUGCGUCUGGCAGGGCAAGGAACCUUUAGCUUGAUCGGUGUUCCAAUAAGCGCAAUAUUUCUUGUUACAGCACCAGUGGCUCAUAGUAGUUGGUCUGCAGUCUGCACAGUGGGGGGUGUGCUUGAAUCACACACGUCAUGCAUCCCCCUCAGUGUCUGUAAUCCUCUCCAGGUCAACACAAAAGAUAUCACUGAAAGCUUAUGUGAGAAGAGGAACUUACCACCUUUGCUUGAAAAUUGACUGGCAAUGAGCUGGACACCUAAAUACAGAACAUCCAAUACGAGCAAACCUCAUGAAAACGGGACCAGGGAAACUCCCCAAAGACAUUUUGGUUAAAGUCUGCGGGUUAAAAUUGCCUUAAUAAUAUUGAAAACGGGACCAGGGAAACUCCCCAAAGACAUUUUGGUUAAAGUCUGCGGGUUAAAAUUGCCUUAAUAAUAUUGAAAACGGGACCAGGGAAACUCCCCAAAGACAGUUUGGUUGAAGUCUGCGGGUUAAAAUUGCCUUAAUAAUAUUGCCCAAAAAGGUAUGGUAACAAUUAAAAUAUAUUAAAUUCUUAAUUCAAUAAUUCAAAAAUCUUUUGUGUUACUAACCAUGUUUGUUUUCCCUUUGGCCGGAAAAAGUAAGUAGGAAUAUUAUGUAACAUACCUACAAACUGUAUGCUACGUCUAUUUGUUCAUAAUUAAUUUCUUAUUUGGUCAUUCAAAGAUUAUUUGUCCGUCUUACUUACGAUGAUUUAUUGUUCCCUCUCUUACUCCAUCACCGUGGACAAAAAAGGUGAGUCAGAGCUUCUGAUUUAGAAUCUAUAAUGUAAAGGCAAAGUUAGAAAUAGCUCAAUGUUUUAUGUUAAUCUGUUUAUGCCUUUAGUAUGUUUAUUUUAUAAUUGAAAUAUUGUUUUAUUAACCAUUCUGUCUCAUACUUAACUUUUACAAUACUCCACCACCUGAGCUGCUGCUGUUCACCGUGGACAAAAAAGGUUGGUAUGAGCGUCAAAAUAUAUUAUAAAAUAUAUUAAUCAUUUACUAUCUUUGAUUCACGCUGACCCUGAUUUCCCUAACGCUGACCCAUAUGAUGGUGACGCUUUUAAUGCUGCUUUUGAGUGUAUUAUUGACAGGUACAGGUGUGGGCUACCUGAAGAGGAGGAGGACCCUGAGAUCGAUGUCGUCGGCCUUGAGGACUCCUCCACAAAACGACGCAGGGAAGAGAGCGACGACGAGGAGGAGGCUGCUGCGAAGAGGCCGAGGUGGUCCGAAGAGAGCGACUCGGAUUGACUCUACGAUGGGACGGGCUGACAUUGUGUUCCCUUUGGCCGGAAAAAAUGUUUCCUGGUCAUUCUUCUGCAGGAUUGUGUGAACUGCUCCGACUCAUUUCUCAACUU